AUGAUCUUGGCUCACUGCAGCCUCCGCCUCCCAAGUUCAAGUGAUUCUCCUGCCUCAGCCUCCUGUACGAGUUCAACUUUAUCAGAUUCCAUGUAUUCCGUUUCAGGCUGGCUUAUUCAUGGUGGCAAGAUGUCUGUGAAGUGCAACUCAGCCAACAACAACUUUUCUAAGGAGAGAGGAGCUAUCGUUUCCUACAGUCAUUGCAUAGAAGUCCUGAGCUUCCUUCUGAUUGGACCAUUCCAUGACCAGUCAUUGAAGAUGUGCCAUGUGCUGAUUGGCUCAGGCUCAAAAACCUAUCACUUUAUCAAAGUCUUGCUCUUGUUGCCCAGGCUGAAGUACAAUGGCGUGAUCUCAGCUCACCACAACCUCUGCCUCCGGGAUUCAAGAGAUUCUCCUGCCUGAGCCUCCUGAGUAGCUUGGAUUACAGGUAUGUGCCACCACACCCAGCCAAUUUUUGUAUUUUUAGUAGAGACGAGGUUUCUCCCUGGUGGUCAGAUUGGUCUCGAAUUCUCGACCUUAGUUGAUCUGCUUGCCUCAGCCACCCAAAGUGCUGGGAUUACAGGCAUGAGCCACUGAGCCCGGCCAAAUUGUUCUAUAUUUUGAUGAAGGUGUUACAGGAUAUUUUCAUUUGCAAAAAUUUAUAAACUGUAGACCUUAGAUCUAUGCAUUUUACCAUAUAUAAAUUAUAUCUCAGUUUAAGCAUAGAAAAGUUAAACCGAUGAUUAUGAUAUACUUGGCUAAUGUCCAUAUGGUACAGUGUGCCAAAAAGAAAAAUAACGCCCUAUUGAGAAGGUAGACAUGUACUGCAAGCAUCAGCUAUGAAAACAGAAAAGCCGAAGACAUUAUUAAUGGACCGAGCUGGGAUUUUUCCAGUUGCGGGGAGCUGAGCCUCUUCUGUAAUGUGUUUAAUCACUUCUAAUUGUACAGCCAGCUAAUUAUAGUAAUUAGUCUUGCCUUAGUUCAACAGAGUUGAACUAAGUCAUUCUCUUAGCAGCACUGGGUUGGAUUUUCCUGCAUCUAGCAACUUCCUCAGAUUGUGGCCUGCAAUGGUGCAUUCCUGGGGCUCCAGAAAUGAUCUGUUUGUGCUGGGUUUUCACGAUUGAGUGUUUGCAGGGUGAGGGAUGUGACUAAUCACGCGUGUCAGGUCUCUGAGCACAGCAAGAGCACUUUGGGCUCUGCACCGCACCACUCUCAGCAUUCUGAUCCAGCCUCGCUUCGGUCCAAGUCAAUCACAUUUUGAAAACAGACAGGAUUAUUCACUGCAGCACUGUUUGUAAUAGCAAAAUAAUAGAAACAGUCUGCAGGACAGGAGACUGAUUAAAUAAAUUAUGGUUCAUCCACGUAACGUAAUACCGAGAAAAAGAAUGAAGAUGCUCUCCAUGUACUGAUCUGGAAAGAGCUGCAAGUUAUACUAUUACAUGAAAGAAGCAGAACCGAGUGCUUAGUGAGGCCAUUUGUAUAAAAUAUGAGUAUAGGUUUGUAUUGUCUUGUUUAUGUAUAAAGAAACUAAAAAGAGAUAAAGUUAGUAACAGAGGAGAUGUUUAUGCGGGAGGGCAAGGGAAUUGUGGGCAGGAGGUUUGGGAAGUGAGUGGAAAAGGGAUGGAAUUAGGGAAGACUUUUCACUGCAAAAUCUUUUUGAAAUAGAUUUUUAAAUAUUCAAGUGAAUGUAUUAUUACCCAAUGAAAGAUCGAAAUCAAUUAAUUAAAAUGGACAAGAGUUUUUAAAAAUAGAAGAAAGUUGUAGAGGAAGGAAGAGUCCAGUGAUCAUAUAAUUUAACAUUUCCCAAAUAUUGGUUUGAAAAGAUACAAUGCGAAAUUUGUGUAUUUAAAGCAAUAGUGGGCCAGGUCUGGUGGCUCAUGCCUAUACUUUGGGAGGCAGAAGCAGGCAGAUCAUUUGAACCCAGGAGUUCAAGACCUCCCAGGGCAACAUAGUGAGACUCUGUCUUGACCAAAAAAAAAAAAAAAUUAAAAAUUAAAUAAUGGGCAUGGUAGUGCUUGUCUGUAGUCCCAGCUAUUCAGUAGGCUGCGAUGGGAGGAUUGCUUGAGCCCAGGAGGUUCAGGCUGCAGUGAGCCAUGACUGUGUCACUGCACUCCAGCCUGGGUGACAGUGAGACCCUGCCUCAAAAAAUAAAAUAAAAUAAAAUAAAAUAAAGCAAUAGUGGAAUCUAUUUUGACUCCUACUUCUUUAUGUUUAUGCAUAAUUUUUUUUGAGAUGAAGUUUCACUUUUGUUGACCAAGUUGGGGUGCAGUGGCAUGAUCUCGGGUGCUCACUGCAUUCGCCAACUCUGAGGUUCAAGUGAUUCUCCUUCCUCAGCCUCCCAAGUAGCUGAAGUAGCUGAGAUUACUGGCAUGAACCACUAGACCUGUCUACUUUUACAUUUUUAGUAGAGAUGGAGUUUCACCAUUUUGGCCAGGCUGGUCUAAAACUCCUGACCUCGGGUCAUCCACCUGCCUUGGCAUCCCAAAGUGCUGGGAUUACAUGCAGUGCCUGGCCCAUAAAAGAAUUUUUAAGCAGUUGUUUUCCCAUUAUGACAAAACUCUCUGAGAGCACCUGGAGUGUGGAGUGGACACACCAGACAGCCAUGGAGAGUAGGUGUCCAGGCUGUGACUCAGUUGCUUAGGCAUCUUUCUGCUUGAAAACAUUUCUUCUUGUGCUUGUACAAUUAAAUAUAUAUAUAAAUUUUUGAGACAGAGUCUGUCACUCUUUUGCCUAGCCUAGAGCGCAGUGGUAUGAUCUCAGCUCACUGCAACCUCUGCCUCCUGGUUUCAAGUGAUUCUCCUGCCUCAGCCUCCAGAGUAGCUGAGAUUAUAGCUUGUACCACCAUACCUGGCUCAUUUUUUGUUUGUAUUUUUAGUAGAGACAGAGUUUCACCAUGUUGGCCAGGCUGGUCUUGAACUCCUGACCUGAGGUGAUCCACCUGCCUUAGCCUCCCAAAGUGCUGGAAUUAUAGGUAUGAGCCACUGUGCCUGGCCUGUUUUUAUUCUUAACCAUGUUUAAUUAAUACUCCAAAUGGUCCAGGAAUCAAAAAGAAUCUUGCCAUUGAACACAGCUACGUAAUGUAGAACAUGAAAAUUAUUAUUCUACAAAUAUGCCUCAGGACUUUUUCUCUAGAUCUGAAAACUGAGAUUAAUCAACUUCUCAUAUAGAAUAUUCAGUGGUUCCACUUUAUAAUCUAGCAUUAAUGUGACACUAUUGCAACCAGUAUAUGAAAUGAUUUUCUAAAUAUUUAUAAAUAAAGACUAUAUUUGAUGUGUCAUUUAUAAAUAAAAGAUGAAAUUAUUAAAGUAAACUAGUGGAUUUUGGGUGUGCAAAAUGUGAGAAUUUCAUAUACGUAUUAUCUAUGGGGCAGUAACAUCAUGAUGACUUUAGAAAUUAGUUUAGGAAAGUCACUAAGCAAAGAACAACCAUAACAAGGAGCAAUAAGUACAAACCCUGGGGAGGGAGGAGAAUCUGAUUGCCAGAAACGCUACAUUAUAUUAUUUAAAAUGUCCAGUUUUCAACAAAAAGUAUGAGACAUGCAAAGAUACAAGAAAG
Callithrix jacchus (white-tufted-ear marmoset) is the source of this 3534-nucleotide long non-coding RNA. The record is from Ensembl. NCBI's taxonomy places the organism in Eukaryota, Metazoa, Chordata, Mammalia, Primates, Cebidae.